This 474-nucleotide ribosomal RNA is filed under the name uncultured bacterium. RNAcentral's name for it is "bacterial SSU rRNA". It matches the Rfam family "Bacterial small subunit ribosomal RNA", at positions 30 to 501 of the family's 1533-position model. The record is from RNAcentral.
AUUGAACGCUGGCGGAAUGCUUUACACAUGCAAGUCGAACGGUAGAGGGGGCAACCCCUUGAGAGUGGCGAACGGGUGAGUAAUAUAUCGGAACGUGCCCAGUCGUGGGGGAUAACGUAGCGAAAGUUACGCUAAUACCGCAUACGAUCUAAGGAUGAAAGCGGGGGGACUCGCAAGAGCCUCGCGCGAUUGGAGCGGCCGAUAUCAGAUUAGGUAGUUGGUGGGGUAAAGGCUCACCAAGCCAACGAUCUGUAGCUGGUCUGAGAGGACGACCAGCCACACUGGAACUGAGACACGGUCCAGACUCCUACGGGAGGCAGCAGUGGGGAAUUUUGGACAAUGGACGCAAGUCUGAUCCAGCCAUUCCGCGUGCAGGAUGAAGGCCCUCGGGUUGUAAACUGCUUUUGACGGACGAAAGGUUUCUAUUAAUACUAGGAGCUCAUGACGGUACCGUAAGAAUAAGCACCGGCUAAC